GCGUAGGUGGUGGUUUAAGUCUGUUGUGAAAGCCCUGGGCUCAACCUGGGAACUGCAGUGGAUACUGGGCGACUAGAGUGUGGUAGAGGGUAGCGGAAUUCCUGGUGUAGCAGUGAAAUGCGUAGAGAUCAGGAGGAACAUCCAUGGCGAAGGCAGCUACCUGGACCAACACUGACACUGAGGCACGAAAGCGUGGGGAGCAAACAGGAUUAGAUACCCUGGUAGUCCACGCCCUAAACGAUGCGAACUGGA
This 252-nucleotide ribosomal RNA is filed under the name Stenotrophomonas hibiscicola. RNAcentral's name for it is "[Pseudomonas] hibiscicola partial 16S ribosomal RNA". It matches the Rfam family "Bacterial small subunit ribosomal RNA", at positions 569 to 820 of the family's 1533-position model. Lineage: Bacteria; Pseudomonadati; Pseudomonadota; Gammaproteobacteria; Lysobacterales; Lysobacteraceae. The record is from RNAcentral.